UGAACGCUGGCGGUAUGCUUUACACAUGCAAGUCGUACGAGAGUUUUUAACUCAAGUGGCGGACGGGUGAGUAACACGUAAGAAUUUGCCUUUAGGAGGGGGACAACAACUAGAAAUGGUUGCUAAUACCCCAUAUGCUUUCGAGUGAAAUGGUUUAUACCGCCUAGAGAGAAGCUUGCGGCUGAUUAGCUUGUUGGUGAGGUAAUGGCUCACCAAGGAGACGAUCAGUAUCUGGUUUGAGAGGAUGAUCAGACACACUGGAACUGAGACACGGUCCAGACUCCUACGGGAGGCAGCAGUGGGGAAUUUUCCGCAAUGGGCGAAAGCCUGACGGAGCAAUCUCGCGUGAGGGAUGACGGCCUAUGGGUUGUAAACCUCUUUUUUCAGGGAGGAAUCAAUGACGUGUACCUGAAGAAUAAGCAUCGGCUAACUCC
This 434-nucleotide ribosomal RNA is filed under the name uncultured bacterium. Its description in RNAcentral is "bacterial SSU rRNA". It matches the Rfam family "Bacterial small subunit ribosomal RNA", at positions 30 to 504 of the family's 1533-position model. The record is from RNAcentral.